GAGGAGUUAAGAAGGGAAAGCAAUCAGUCAUUUUUCCAAAGGCCAGUCUGCAGGGCUGGGACUGAGCACAGGCUGAAAUCAAGGUUGGACCACCUCUCAGCCCUUCGCAAGCCCUCCAGACCUAGCAGUCUCCAUUUGAUCCUGUAUUGGAAAUGGGCAUGGAAGAUGCCACAACUUCUCAAGCUGUCCCUAGGAAAAGGUGUGGGUGAACUUCUGGCUUGAAGAAUCUGAGGAUGGAACAAGGUCAACUUUGCUCUUCUCCUGGGUUCUGGAACCAGACCUUCCUAACCUGCUCUGCUCACCUGGGGCCCCAGCCCACUGUCACCCAUGCCCUCAUCUCCAGACUCUUCUUCCAGCAACUAGGCUUGCAAAGCAGGGAUGGUGGUUGGAGCACCAGCUUCCGUGUCAAGCAGGGCAGGCUGCACUCCCAGUGCCCCGGUGCCUCUGGCUCUCGAGGCUUGUUCCUCAUCUCUAGCUCCUUCACAGAGUUGUCCUGAGGCUCACAAUGGGAACACAUCAAUAAAUUACCUAUUGCAUUAAAA
RNAcentral lists this long non-coding RNA (542 nucleotides) under Pongo abelii (Sumatran orangutan). RNAcentral's name for it is "lincRNA". Lineage: Eukaryota; Metazoa; Chordata; Mammalia; Primates; Hominidae. The record is from RNAcentral.